Molecule: ribosomal RNA, 424 nt
Filed under: Escherichia sp. E4385
Lineage: Bacteria; Pseudomonadati; Pseudomonadota; Gammaproteobacteria; Enterobacterales; Enterobacteriaceae
Description: partial 23S ribosomal RNA
Rfam family: Bacterial large subunit ribosomal RNA
Source: RNAcentral
GCACCUCGAUGUCGGCUCAGUCACAUCCUGGGGCUGAAGUAGGUCCCAAGGGUAUGGCUGUUCGCCAUUUAAAGUGGUACGCGAGCUGGGUUUAGAACGUCGUGAGACAGUUCGGUCCCUAUCUGCCGUGGGCGCUGGAGAACUGAGGGGGGCUGCUCCUAGUACGAGAGGACCGGAGUGGACGCAUCACUGGUGUUCGGGUUGUCAUGCCAAUGGCACUGCCCGGUAGCUAAAUGCGGAAGAGAUAAGUGCUGAAAGCAUCUAAGCACGAAACUUGCCCCGAGAUGAGUUCUCCCUGACUCCUUGAGAGUCCUGAAGGAACGUUGAAGACGACGACGUUGAUAGGCCGGGGUGUGUAAGCGCAGCGAUGCGUUGAGCUAACCGGUACUAAUGAACCGUGAGGCUUAACCUUACAACGCCGAAG